This 429-nucleotide ribosomal RNA is filed under the name Gemmatimonadota bacterium. RNAcentral describes it as "Gemmatimonadetes bacterium partial 16S ribosomal RNA". It matches the Rfam family "Bacterial small subunit ribosomal RNA", at positions 355 to 776 of the family's 1533-position model. The record is from RNAcentral. Lineage: Bacteria; Pseudomonadati; Gemmatimonadota.
UAGGGAAUCUUCGGCAAUGGACGAAAGUCUGACCGAGCAACGCCGCGUGAGUGAAGAAGGUUUUCGGAUCGUAAAACUCUGUUGUUAGAGAAGAACAAGGACGUUAGUAACUGAACGUCCCCUGACGGUAUCUAACCAGAAAGCCACGGCUAACUACGUGCCAGCAGCCGCGGUAAUACGUAGGUGGCAAGCGUUGUCCGGAUUUAUUGGGCGUAAAGCGAGCGCAGGCGGUUUCUUAAGUCUGAUGUGAAAGCCCCCGGCUCAACCGGGGAGGGUCAUUGGAAACUGGGAGACUUGAGUGCAGAAGAGGAGAGUGGAAUUCCAUGUGUAGCGGUGAAAUGCGUAGAUAUAUGGAGGAACACCAGUGGCGCAGGCGGCUCUCUGGUCUGUAACUGACGCUGAGGCUCGAAAGCGUGGGGAGCAAACAGG